This 501-nucleotide ribosomal RNA is filed under the name uncultured bacterium. RNAcentral describes it as "partial 16S ribosomal RNA". It matches the Rfam family "Bacterial small subunit ribosomal RNA", at positions 30 to 523 of the family's 1533-position model. The record is from RNAcentral.
AUUGAACGCUGGCGGCAGGCUUAACACAUGCAAGUCGAGCGGAGAUGAGGUGCUUGCACCUUAUCUUAGCGGCGGACGGGUGAGUAAUGCUUAGGAAUCUGCCUAUUAGUGGGGGACAACAUUCCGAAAGGAAUGCUAAUACCGCAUACGUCCUACGGGAGAAAGCAGGGGAUCUUCGGACCUUGCGCGAAUAGAUGAGCCUAAGUCGGAUUAGCUAGUUGGUGGGGUAAAGGCCUACCAAGGCGACGAUCUGUAGCGGGUCUGAGAGGAUGAACCGCCACGCUGGGACUGAGACACGGCCCAGACUCCUACGGGAGGCAGCAGUGAGGAGUAUUGGACAAUGGGGGAAACCCUGAUCCAGCCAUGCCGCGUGUGUGAAGAAGGGCUUAUGGUUGUAAAGCACUUUAAGCGAGGAGGAGGCUACUGAGACUAAUACUCUUGGUUAGUGGACGUUACUCGCAGAAUAAGCACCGGCUAACUCUGUGCCAGCAGCCGCAGUAA